RNAcentral lists this transfer RNA (69 nucleotides) under Ictidomys tridecemlineatus (thirteen-lined ground squirrel). Its description in RNAcentral is "Spermophilus tridecemlineatus (thirteen-lined ground squirrel) tRNA". It matches the Rfam family "tRNA". From Rfam's summary of the family: Transfer RNA (tRNA) molecules are approximately 80 nucleotides in length. Their secondary structure includes four short double-helical elements and three loops (D, anti-codon, and T loops). Lineage: Eukaryota; Metazoa; Chordata; Mammalia; Rodentia; Sciuridae. The record is from Rfam by way of RNAcentral.
GGGGCUGUAGCUCAGUGGUGGAGUGCUUGCCUAGCACGCAUGAAGCACUGGGUUCGAUCCUCAGCACCA